RNAcentral lists this long non-coding RNA (284 nucleotides) under Brassica napus (rape). RNAcentral describes it as "long non-coding RNA (BNAP_LNC014242)". Lineage: Eukaryota; Viridiplantae; Streptophyta; Magnoliopsida; Brassicales; Brassicaceae. The record is from RNAcentral.
GAUAUUAGAUUUAAAAAAUGAUUAAAUUUUGAGUCAAAGUUUAAGAUUGAAGUAUUGUACGUGGUUUGAAGUUAUAUAACUUUUAUAUUCCAUAAAUUAGACUUAUAUAUAACUUUUACAAAGUUAAGGGUUUACUGUUUAUGAUUUAGGAGUUAGGUAUAGUGUUUGGAGUUUAGAAUUUAAGUUUUGAGAAAACUAAAUUUUGAGUUUAAAUUUAUGAUUUGAAGUUAUAGUGUGAAAAGAUAAGAAUUUUGAAUUCUAUACCGAAACCCUAAAGCUAAACC